GCAGGACUGGAAAAGGACGGUGGGCGGGCCCCACAGCCGAGGGAAUCUAACAGCCCCCAAGCUCCAACGAAAGGCCGCCCAUCUCCGAUCCCUGCAACCCCUAAAACGGAAAACCACCAUAGAUGUGAACGAAGAACUGGGAGAAACGAAGAGAAGGACAAAAACAGCAAUCAAAUCCAAUACACUCAUCCAUACUUCUUGAUCCUCUCUUCUUCUCGAGAGAAGAGAAAAGAUCUCUGUUGAGAAGAAAAAAAGGAUCUCAGGAUGUGGCAUAAGAAUAUUUUGAGGAUUUGGAUCGCAAAAAAGCUAUACAUAAAAAUCUUUGAAUCCAAAGAAAGAAGAGAGAGAGAGAGAGAGAGAGAGCGCCAUGGGAGAAGAAGGGAAGAGAAAACAUCUCUGUUGAGCAAAAAAAAGGAUCUCAGGAUGUGGCAUAAGAAUAUUUUCAGGAUUUGGAUCGCAAAAAAGACUAUAUACAAAGAUCUUUGAAUCCUAAGAAAGAAGAAAGAG
This 507-nucleotide long non-coding RNA is filed under the name Phoenix dactylifera (date palm). RNAcentral's name for it is "long non-coding RNA (PDAC_LNC006624)". The record is from RNAcentral. Lineage: Eukaryota; Viridiplantae; Streptophyta; Magnoliopsida; Arecales; Arecaceae.